GGUUUGGGAACGUUUCUAAUUGUCUUUCUUUCAAAUUUCACUUUGAAGACAUCACAAAAUUUAUAAUAAUGGUCAAAAAUGGCAAUAAUAAUGGCGAACAAGGCCAUUUUCUUAAAAAAGCAUGCGGGCGGGGAUGAGAAACUAAUAUACAGCAAAUAGUGGCCUAAAGACAAUUCGUGGUAUAUUAGCAAUCGUAUGAAUUUAAUACAAUCGUAUAUGAAUUUAAUGGGUUUUAUGUUUGCGAAGAGUUCUGCUGAAGCCAGUUUGAAGUUGCACUUGUUGCGGCUUGAAAUGCAGCCGUUGUAUCAAGACGUGAAAAUCUGUGAUUUGGCGUUGUAUACAAAGCGAGGACAAUGUCUAAAUUAUUCAUAUAUUGCAAUUAUUGAAUUCUUUUUAAUUAUUUAUUGUAUUUGUAGCCGUUGCUGUCCUAAAUUGUAAGGUGUCUAUUUAAAAAUCAGGGAACCAUGCA
Paramuricea clavata is the source of this 469-nucleotide non-coding RNA. NCBI's taxonomy places the organism in Eukaryota, Metazoa, Cnidaria, Anthozoa, Malacalcyonacea, Plexauridae. The record is from the annotation of a GenBank genome assembly.